AUGUGUGGGGCAUGUAUGUGUGUAUGUUUAUGUAUGCAUAUAGAUACACACACACACACACACACACACACACACACACACACACACACAC
RNAcentral lists this microRNA precursor (91 nucleotides) under Procavia capensis (Cape rock hyrax). RNAcentral's name for it is "miRNA (ENSPCAG00000019694.1)". Lineage: Eukaryota; Metazoa; Chordata; Mammalia; Hyracoidea; Procaviidae. The record is from RNAcentral.